GCAAAUACCCCUCACCGCCCGGGCGUCCGGUCCUCCCCUCUGGCCUCGCGGGGUUGGCGGGGCGGGUCCGCGGCCGGGCCCGGGAGGGGCGGAGCCCGCGGGAGUGCGGGGAGGAAGGCCGCGCAGGGGUAGGUGGUGCCCGAACCAGGUCCCAGGAGGAGGUGGAGUGUCCGUGUUGGAAGGUGCGGGGACACUGGGCUUAGCGCUUUAUCCGGCGUUACCGCCGAGUCUUCAUCCGGAAACUGGCACUUCCGCUGUGACGGUGGAGGACACUGAAACCUCAGUAACUGCCGGAGGCAGACACACAGCGAGUGGUAGAGUCCUAAAUUGAAUUCCCACGCCGCCACCCUUGGCCCUCCCUCUGCACGGCCUCGCCGCUGCACCCGGACGGGAAGUGUUUGCAAACGUCCUUUGAGCAUCUUUUGUCUCGGCUUUGUAUUCCUUGGCCCUCCGAGCGAAAACAGCUAGGUGGGUGGCCCAGCUCCUGCCCGCUAGGUUGCGUAUACCUGAACCAGUCGCUACAAAUACAAAGCGAAGGGCUCCGCUGAGUGCCCCGCCCCCAGGGAGGGGGGCGUGGCCAUCAGCUGGAGUUGCCGAAUGCCUCGGGAAGCAGGCCGAUUUGAGCUGGGGGUGACCCGGAAGAUCAGCGAAAGGACCUUCCAGAUCUGGGGCGCCAAAGCAAAGACUCACAGGCACAGAUCGCACCGGGAAGCUGAACACAGUCCUUUCAUGCUGCCGUGGAACAGGUGUUGAAAACCCAGAUAGCCGCAGGGAUGGGCGGGAUUCUGCCCUAUCCCUCAGCUCUGCAUUUAAUGGCUGGGAUCCUGGGGAUCUUGUUUUCCUCUGACUGUUGGGAUUCCUGUUACCAUCAUAUGAAUUCUUCCCCCGGCCACAUCACCAUCCCACCAUCUGGAGUUGUGCUAAGGAAUCUGGGUUUAGACACCUGAGUAUCAAGUUCUGUCCCUGAGGAAUUCUCCGACCUUGGUGGACUGUGGACUCUGUUUGGGGUAUCUCUUUUUGGCAUGAUACUCUCCUGACAAAUCUGUACAUAACGUAUAAUAUUUCCAUUUCUGGAAACACCCUGCUGCCUCAAUUCAGAGCCAUCAAGCCUGUACCCGAAAGUGUCUCCCAGCCUUGGGAGCACCCAGGUUCAUUUGGACUCACUGUUUUUUGUUUUGUUUUGUUUUUUUCCGGAAAUAUGUGGCUCUCAGCUCAGGCAAUGUCAAAACAGCCCAGGCCUACAGACCUCCCAGGAGGGCAGAACUUUUUUUUCUUACCCACGAAGCGGGACUCACGUGGUUGGAUAGGAGACCUUGUCUUUAUUUCCGGGAUCUUCCAUAUAAUAUUCACAUGACUCACGUGCCAAGUCGGUUAUGCUGGCGUGGCUUCAUUCCAGGUACCCUCCGCUCUCCCUUCCCCAGUCCCGAUGUGGCUGCCAGGAAUGGUCCCUGUGGCUGCAGCUGGCGUUGUCUCAAGAGGUAGCGACCUUUGGCGGGUAUGACCGAAGACUAGAGGUGUUUGGAAGCCUCUGGAAGGACUGCUGAAGGGUGCAGGGACACAAUGCUGGACAGUCAUGAGAAUGUGGUCCCUCGGGGAUCCUUCUUACAGCUCUCCAUGAUGCCCCAGAAAGCUGGAAAUGACUCCCCUGGUGUUUCCAGCACAAGUGAAACGGAAAGGGAGAUAAGUAACAUGAGAGAAAAGUUUCUUACAAGUGUGACAAAGUUAGUAGAAAGCAAAAGUUACAACAGCAAGGUAUUUUCCAAAGAAAAGUACUUUCAAACAAUAAAGGAAGUCAAAGAAGCCAAGGAAAAGGGGAAGAAGUCAUCACGUGACUACCGCCGCGCAGCAAAAUAUGACGUGAUCUCCGUGCAAGGCACGGAGAAGCUAAUAGAGGCCGCUCACAGGGAACGUGAUCGAAUACGGUAUUACGUACAUAAGGAAGAGUUGUUUGACAUUCUUCACGACACACAUCUCAAUAUUGGACACGGUGGGCGGACACGGAUGCUCAAGGAGCUACAAGGAAAAUAUGGGAAUGUCACCAAAGAAGUCAUUGUCUUGUACCUGACACUGUGUAAACAGUGCCACCAGAAGAACCCAGUGCCCAAGAGAGGUCUUGCGCCCAAGCCCAUGCCUUUUAAGGACAUCGACUCCAGGUGCCAAGUUGAAGUACUUGACAUGCAGUCAAAUGCCGACGGUGAGUUCAAGUUUAUUUUGUAUUACCAGGACCACUUGACCAAGUUUAUCAUCUUACGACCGUUAAGAGCUAAACAGGCCCACGAGGUGGUCAGCGUCCUGUUGGAUAUUUUCACAAUUCUCGGUACCCCUGGCGUGUUAGAAUCUGACAGCGGCGUAGAGUUCACAAACCAGGUUGUUAAUGAGCUCAAUGAGGUAUGGCCGGAGCUGAAGAUCGUCUGUGGUCAGCACCACCCUGGCCAAGGCCAGGGCUCCCUGGAGCGAGCAAGCCGUGACGUCAAGAACAUGAUACGUGCCUGGAUGCAGAGUCACCGCUCACGCCGCUGGGCCGAAGGCCUGCGAUUUGUGCAGCUGGCGAGGAAUCAGGUGUUCGACGUUUCCUUGCAGCAAAGUCCAUACGAAGCGAUGUUUGGCUGUAAGGCCAAACUCGGCCUGUACUCCUCACACUUACCCCGCGAAACCGUGGCCGUCUUACAGACAGAGGAAGAGCUGGAAAUUGCGGAAAAACAGCUAGAAAGCAGCCUUUGGAUCAGGCAGGAAGAAAGGACUGAGAUGGGAGCAGACAGAUCUGAUAUGGAUGAGGACAUCGAUCCCACGCCUCCGGAACCUACAGAGCCCAGCACCUCACAGGGGGCCCCAGGCCUCUUCUGCUGGUGAACGGGCGCCUGCUGGGUGCUGUCCAGCCAUCUGAGAACUGUCGCCAGAUUCCCCGGGGAAAGGAACAUGAAGGCUGUGCUCUCCACAGUCGCUCACGUUGUCCACGGCAGUGCUUGCAACGAGGGGAAAAGCGGGCCGGGUCCGUAACAGAUGACCACAAACUUAGCGGCUUAACAGGAAUAUACACUUUGGCAGCUCUGGAGGCCAGAAUUUCAAGAUCAAGGUGUCGGCAGGGCUUGUUGCUUCUGGAAGCUUGGAGAGAAUCCGUCCCGUGCCUUUCUCCUCUCCCUGGUGGCCGCUGGCAGUCCUCUGCGUUCCUUGGCUUCCUCGAGUCUCUGCCUCAUCUUCACGUGGAGCUUCGCCUGGACUUUCCCCCUCUGUCUCUCUGCGAUCUCCUUUUCUGUCUCUUAAAAGGACACCACGGCAUACCAACCCCAUGCCAUUGGAUUUAAGGUCCUCCCCUAUCAGGGAUGAUCUCCUCUCGACAUCCUCACCUUAAUCGUAUCUGCAAAGACCCUUUGUCCAAGUGAGGUCCAAUUCACGGGUGUUGGGGAUUUGGACUUGGACAUACCUUUCUUGGGACACAGUUCUACCAACUACAGCCAGUAGAAGAGUAUUUCUGCCUGCAGAACAUGAACCGAUGGGGUCUUAAGUGUGGUGCCCUACGUACAUCUAGUACGUAUUCCUUCUGCCAAGCCCCCUUCCUCAGACAACAUCCCGAAGGGUGGGGGCAUCGGAGGAAGAGGUGUAGUGAGAAAAGAGGAGAGCGGCCACCUCGGCAUCUGAGCUCUAUUUCCUGCUUCAAGAAGAACUGUAUGUGCCACCCCUGCUGUCACAAUGGCAUGCGCAGGCAACUGUGACCUGCCUGAAACUUAUUUUAAAAGGUCAGAAUUAAGGCAUGGCUGGGAUUUGGGUCUGAAUCUGCCAGUGGUCUGUGCCUCAAGAAUAGAAAAGCGUGUCUGUCUGGAGCAGGUCAGUGCGUUCUAGGAAGUGACCGGUAGCCAGGGAAGCAACCGGAGACCGGAGCAAAGUGCAGACGUUGGCCGGAGGUCACGGCUCCACCCAGAGAAUGGAGCAAAGGCCAGUCUGGGUCACGGUUCAGAGUAGGGAUCGCCAGCCUGGCCGAAGAGAACGAAGAUCCCCUGGAUCUGUGUUCUGCUGUAUUCCCAAGGCCCAGACGAAUCCCUAGCCCAUCAGAGGUGUUCGGUAAGGAUUUGUUGUGGGAACAGGAGAUUCUGCAGAGACAGGUACCGGGAAGGAGGGGCCUGAAGUCGUCAUUCUCCCGGGCCACCCUUCCUGCAUGUCCUGGAGCCAUCCGAACGAAGCCCAUUCUGCUCACCCCCUAGUGCCAGGUUCCUCCGUGAGGGGCGGCACCGACCCCCGCCUGCAGGAGGGGAGACACUGCCCGCCUAGUGACACUGGGUGCUGGUGAGAGCCCGUGAGACAAUGUGCGUGAAGGGGCCUUCUCUGAACACCGAAGUGGGAGUUGUCCCUGCCCCCAGCAGAUCCCACCCCUCACGUGAAAGCCGGAGACCUCCCCCGUUCCUUUGCUGGUUAAACAUUGCCUCGAUGGGUAUCCAGGGAGGCCACGUUAUCCCUAGAAAGGAGGUGAUACCAUUUUGCAGCUUGUUUGGGGGUCUGGGAGGCCGAGCUUUCUAAUGUUACCGCCCCUCCCCCAUACUGACCGACUACCUCCUCGUUGCCCGCGAGCCAGGAGCCACAUGGUCAACUCGUGUGGGUGAGAGGUGAGGCAGCUGUAUUCGUUUCCUGGGGCUGCCCUAACGAACGGGGGCAGGUCGGUGCUUCAACAACAGAAAUGUAUCGUGUCACAGUUCUGGAAGCCAGAAGUCCCAAGAUCGAGGUGCCAGCAGUCUCCUUCGUAGUAUCCACCGUUGCGUUGAAUUUGAACCGCGACACCGGCUCUGUUGGCGAGCUCCUUGCUCAAAAUAGCUUCUCCACACCUAGAACUUUGGCCUCAGAUUUCUGGUCACUUUGAGCCACUUCCCUUGACGUGACAACAUAAGCGAUCAGCAGCACUGAGUACAGCAGUACACGGUUCUCUGAAGGACAUCACCUCUCUUUCCGCCUUCCUCCUGAUGCGACGGCAGGAACCCCGGAAAUGGCUGCCUUAAAUGUAGGGACCCUAGGAUCUGGCCUCCACGCACAACCCAGAUCACCAGGAAUAACCCAGUCCUGAAACACUGCCCCUCUGCCCGAACCGGGAUUGGGCCGGGCCGGACGCCGGGAAGCUUCUCCAGAUGCAGCCACUGUCUGUGGCAGGAAGAGGGCCUCCCCGAAAUCUGUCGUCAGGCUCGGCUUGUCCUCUUCCGUCCCUCCUCACACCCUCUACUUCCCUGGCCUGUCGCUUUCAUCCAUCCCUCCAGUGUCUAGAGACACAACUGUGUGCCGGGCUCAUGCUGGUCUUCGGAGGCACCAUCCCGUAAGCGGUCAUGGUAAUGCGCCCGGUGCCGAAAUGGAGACCCGGCAAAGACGUCUGGGUCUGUGAAAGGUUGCGCAGUGCACGCCCCGCACAGAGGCCAUGUAAGCGGAGUGUGGAAAAGAUGGUUUGCAGCUCGCUCACCAAUGUUCUCCGUUCCGCCCACUUUGGAUCAGAGGACUUCUUACAGGAGAAAUACGAUUGGCCGGAGGCCACCUUCACCCAGUGAUCAAGUUAACACCCCCGCCCCCGCCCCCAUAUUCGUACAGCACAACACCAUUUCCAUGCUGUUUCUACCCAAAAUACAGUACCUGAAUCUCAUUAUGAAGAAACAAGAGAGAAGCCCAGAUUGAGGGCUUACAAAACAGCUGGUCCGUACUCUUCAAAAAUUCAAAAAGGCCAAAGUUAACAAAAGACAAAGACUAAAGGGGGGAAAAGAAAGAAAGGGAGGGAGGGAGGAAGGAAGGAAGGAAGGAAGGAAUACCAAGGAGCUGUCCCAGUUCCAGGACUUUCUUUUGCUAUCAUGGACAUCACUGGGACAACUGGCCAGAUCUGACCAUUGUCUGAAGGUUAUAGUGUUUUAUCAGGGUUAAUCUCCUGAUCUUGAGAAUUGUACUAUGGUUAUGUAAGAGUCUCUAGGAAAUACACACUAGAGUAUCUGAGGGUAAA
RNA transcript from Lynx canadensis (Canada lynx), 5956 nucleotides. It is a transcript of the gene named KRAB-A domain containing 2, with no coding region annotated. The transcript is spliced from 7 exons. NCBI's taxonomy places the organism in Eukaryota, Metazoa, Chordata, Mammalia, Carnivora, Felidae. The record is from RefSeq and is a predicted model, not a curated record.